Molecule: ribosomal RNA, 306 nt
Filed under: Triticum aestivum (bread wheat)
Lineage: Eukaryota; Viridiplantae; Streptophyta; Magnoliopsida; Poales; Poaceae
Description: partial small subunit ribosomal RNA
Source: RNAcentral
AUGUCCUCCUCCACCGCAAUCACCUCUUCUGGCCUCAACUACAACACAUCAGAACCUCUUAGCCGGACGAACUACGUUCUCUGGUGAGCCCAAGCACGAUCCCAGAUACUGGGAGCUGGCUUGUUUGGCUAUAUAGAUCAAACUAUCGAGGAGCCUCCCAAAACAAUCACAAGCAAAGAUAAAGAUGGCAAGGAGCAGGUAGUUCCCAAUCCUGCCCAUAACCCCUGGUUAGUUCAAGAUCAGCAAAUCGUAGCAUAUCUUCUCCGCAAUCUGUCCAAGGAGGUGCUCGUUCAAGUGGCCUCGCUU